RNAcentral lists this ribosomal RNA (445 nucleotides) under uncultured bacterium. RNAcentral describes it as "partial 16S ribosomal RNA". It matches the Rfam family "Bacterial small subunit ribosomal RNA", at positions 354 to 796 of the family's 1533-position model. The record is from RNAcentral.
GUGGGGAAUUUUGGACAAUGGGCGCAAGCCGGAUCCAGCCAUGCCGCGUGCAGGAAGAAGCAUCUAUGGUGUGUAAACUGCUUUUGUACGGGAAGAAACACUCCUUCGUGAAGGAGCUUGACGGUACCGUAAGAAUAAGGAUCGGCUAACUCCGUGCCAGCAGCCGCGGUAAUACGGAGGAUCCAAGCGUUAUCCGGAAUCAUUGGGUUUAAAGGGUCCGUAGGCGGUUUGGUAAGUCAGUGGUGAAAGCCCGCAGCUCAACUGUGGAACGGCCAUUGAUACUGCCAGACUUGAAUUACAAGGAAGUAACUAGAAUAUGUAGUGUAGCGGUGAAAUGCUUAGAUAUUACAUGGAAUACCAAUUGCGAAGGCAGGUUACUACUUGUGGAUUGACGCUGAUGGACGAAAGCGUGGGGAGCGAACAGGAUUAGAAACCCUAGUAGUCC